AAACCAUGAUGUGGGCAUAUUUUAACCAACGUUUUAAACCAUUUCCAAGCUUUAUGAAAACUUUCUCCUUCUAUUUUUUUAAAUAUGGAAAUCUCCCUCCUGAGUUG
Gossypium hirsutum (cotton) is the source of this 107-nucleotide non-coding RNA. The record is from Rfam. Lineage: Eukaryota; Viridiplantae; Streptophyta; Magnoliopsida; Malvales; Malvaceae.